CUCACGGAAGAGAACAGCGAUCAUUGCUUUAUAAGGAGGACGAAGAAUAGCUUCAUAAAAGGUUGUUUUAACUCUUUGUUAGUGUUGUUCGCAUCCCUUCCUUUUCUGUCUGUCGGAAGAACUUUGAUCACCAAUUUAUCAAAAAGGGUUGCAGCUAGAUAACAGAAGUUCAGAAAGAACUGGAUUAGGAUCAAGCAACACCCUCUUGGCCAUAGCAGUUUCGUUUGAAAAUGUUUUCAAGACUCACCGUCAUUUCCCUUGUCGUCCUUGUCGCUGCCUCCAUGAUUCCUCAAACUCACGCGUUUACAGCAGGAGCAGGGAAUAUCGGUAAUGGCAAGCGAGCGGUGGAUCAUAAGAACCAGAUUACAUUUAGCCUUCACCGUAUCUGUGAAACGGCAGAGAUCGCUUGUUCGUCUCUCAAGAGAAAAAAGGAUGAAUUUGCUAUUCCAAUGAAAGAUCGAUAUGAACAGUAAACCGGCACGGCCACUGAUCAGCUUAUCUUAUCUUCAAGUUUCCUUUGGACUGAAUCUUAUGGAAGACAAUGCCACGUCAAAAGAAGACUUUGAACAUGUCUGUAAAUUUAUUUUAAUGUGUAAAGUAGAUAAUCAUGACUGUGUCAACUGGUAAAAUGAAUAAAAACAAAAUUCAAACGCAGUGUAAAAAGGUAUGGCAAAUAAACAUUGUGACCAAAUACAAAA
Long non-coding RNA from Orbicella faveolata, 698 nucleotides. RefSeq lists it as uncharacterized. The record is from RefSeq and is a predicted model, not a curated record. NCBI's taxonomy places the organism in Eukaryota, Metazoa, Cnidaria, Anthozoa, Scleractinia, Merulinidae.